CAGUACUGAGAGAGGAAAAAAAACUGCUGGCCUUCUCGGGACCGGCAGGAAGCAGUUUGCAGUCUCGCCCGGCAGCUCUUUUCUUUCAUCUGUGCCUGCGAACCCACUGCCAUCUGCUCUUUUGUGGCUCUGCUUCUGACUCCUACCGUGGCUUCUGGGGCUGUCCGCUUUGCUUUUUCAGAUACCUUGCGGGCCUUUUCCAGGCAUGCCUGAGGAUUUGAGGUGAGGUAGAAUGGGUGUCAUGGGAUUACUUUCAGUCAGGAUGUGGGAGUAUCGCUUUGGCGCGGUGCAGGUGAUGAAGGUGAGCGAAGGAAGAUUAGAGAGGAUGUGGCUGCCAUUGAGUGAUGCCUCUUAAGGAUCAAAAGUGACCUGACCGCCCCC
Molecule: long non-coding RNA, 381 nt
Organism: Dromaius novaehollandiae (emu)
Lineage: Eukaryota; Metazoa; Chordata; Aves; Casuariiformes; Dromaiidae
Exons: 3
Source: RefSeq, a predicted model, not a curated record